ACGAACGCUGGCGGCGUGCUUAACCCAUGCCAGUCGAACGGAAAGGCCCUGCUUUUGUGGGGUGCUCGAGUGGCGAACGGGUGAGUAACACGUGAGUAACCUGCCCUUGACUUUGGGAUAACUUCAUGAAACUGGGGCUAAUACCGGAUAGGAGCUCCUGCUGCAUGGUGGGGGUUGGAAAGUUUCGGCGGUUGGGGAUGGACUCGCGGCUUAUCAGCUUGUUGGUGGGGUAGUGGCUUACCAAGGCUUUGACGGGUAGCCGGCCUGAGAGGGUGACCGGCCACAUUGGGACUGAGAUACGGCCCAGACUCCUACGGGAGGCAGCAGUGGGGAAUAUUGCACAAUGGGCGGAAGCCUGAUGCAGCAACGCCGCGUGCGGGAUGACGGCCUUCGGGUUGUAAACCGCUUUCGCCUGUGACGAAGCGUGAGUGACGGUAAUGGGUAAAGAAGCACCGGCUAACUACGUG
This 467-nucleotide ribosomal RNA is filed under the name uncultured bacterium. RNAcentral's name for it is "partial 16S ribosomal RNA". It matches the Rfam family "Bacterial small subunit ribosomal RNA", at positions 29 to 507 of the family's 1533-position model. The record is from RNAcentral.